RNAcentral lists this ribosomal RNA (448 nucleotides) under uncultured bacterium. RNAcentral's name for it is "partial 16S ribosomal RNA". It matches the Rfam family "Bacterial small subunit ribosomal RNA", at positions 329 to 794 of the family's 1533-position model. The record is from RNAcentral.
AGCCAGACUCCUACGGGAGGCAGCAGUGGGGGAUAUUGCACAAUGGGGGAAACCCUGAUGCAGCAACGCCGCGUGAGUGAAGAAGGUCUUCGGAUUGUAAAGCUCUGUUCUUGGUGAAGAUAAUGACGGUAGCCAAGGAGAAAGCUCCGGCUAACUACGUGCCAGCAGCCGCGGUAAUACGUAGGGAGCGAGCGUUGUCCGGAUUUACUGGGUGUAAAGGGUGCGCAGGCGGCUCUGCAAGUCAGGCGUGAAAGCUAGGGGCUCAACCCCUAAACUGCGCUGGAAACUGUGGAGCGUGAGUGAAGUAGAGGCAGGCGGAAUUCCCGGUGGAGCGGGGAAAGGCGUAGAUAUUAGGAGGAACACCAGUGGCGAAGGGGGCCUGCUGGACGAUGACUGACGCUGAGGCUCGAAAGCGUGGGGAGCAAACAGGAGUAGAGACCCGGGUAAC